RNAcentral lists this ribosomal RNA (253 nucleotides) under uncultured bacterium. RNAcentral's name for it is "partial 16S ribosomal RNA". It matches the Rfam family "Bacterial small subunit ribosomal RNA", at positions 524 to 776 of the family's 1533-position model. The record is from RNAcentral.
UACGAAGGGGGCUAGCGUUGCUCGGAAUCACUGGGCGUAAAGCGCACGUAGGCGGCUUGUUAAGUCAGGGGUGAAAUCCUGGAGCUCAACUCCAGAACUGCCUUUGAUACUGGCGAUCUCGAGUCCGGGAGAGGUGAGUGGAACUGCGAGUGUAGAGGUGAAAUUCGUAGAUAUUCGCAAGAACACCAGUGGCGAAGGCGGCUCUCUGGCCCGGUACUGACGCUGAGGUGCGAAAGCGUGGGGAGCAAACAGG